UCCAAAGGGCACCCAGUCGCAGUCAACAGAAUAAUGCCCAGAACCAUGCCAUGGUUGAUCAUCAACUGGAUACCAGAAUGCAACAGACAUCUUGCUGGAUCCACCAAUGGUGAAUUGUGCAUCCUACAACCACCAGAAAAUUUAAAUAUCGCUUUGGGGUUUCAAUUUUUACACAAGUGAAAGCAAUUUCCCCCUCAAGAGAAAGUAAGUAUUCUUGAGAUGAUAAAGACGGCAACCAUGGUGAGCAUCUGGGUCAAGAGCGGGGAGAAGAGAGAAGUCGGAGCCAUCAAUGUCCUUCCAAUCGUCGGCAUGGCCAUCUAGAGAAACAAGUCCAGGUUUAAAGUCGGCCUGGAGUCGGAUCUCCGAGUUAGAAUCGCAGCUCCAUGGACCUGACUCUUCGUGUGAGUCGACCACUCCGAUUGAGACGAAGGCCAAGAAAAGUAUAAGAAAAAGCGUGUGAAGCAUUGUG
Molecule: long non-coding RNA, 469 nt
Organism: Prosopis cineraria
Lineage: Eukaryota; Viridiplantae; Streptophyta; Magnoliopsida; Fabales; Fabaceae
Exons: 3
Source: RefSeq, a predicted model, not a curated record